This 447-nucleotide ribosomal RNA is filed under the name uncultured Acidobacteriota bacterium. Its description in RNAcentral is "bacterial SSU rRNA". It matches the Rfam family "Bacterial small subunit ribosomal RNA", at positions 8 to 487 of the family's 1533-position model. Lineage: Bacteria; Pseudomonadati; Acidobacteriota. The record is from RNAcentral.
AGAGUUUGAUCCUGGCUCAGAAUCAACGCUGGCGGCGCGCCUAACACAUGCAAGUCGAACGAGAAAGUGGAGCAAUCCAUGAGUAAAGUGGCGUACGGGUGAGUAACACGUGGAUAAUCUGCCCUUUAGUGGGGAAUACCGCUGGGAAACCGGCGACAAUACCGCAUAAGCUCGAGAGAGGAAAGCAGCAAUGCGCUGAAGGAGGAGUCCGCGGCAGAUUAGCUAGUUGGUAGGGUAAUGGCCUACCAAGGCUGUGAUCGGUAGCCGGCCUGAGAGGGCACACGGCCACACUGGCACUGAAACACGGGCCAGACUCCUACGGGAGGCAGCAGUGGGGAAUCUUGCACAAUGGGGGCAACCCUGAUGCAGCGACGCCGCGUGAGCGAUGAAGCCCUUCGGGGUGUAAAGCUCUUUCGGCAGGGACGAUUAUGACGGUACCUGCAGAAG